Molecule: ribosomal RNA, 253 nt
Filed under: uncultured bacterium
Lineage: Bacteria
Description: partial 16S ribosomal RNA
Rfam family: Bacterial small subunit ribosomal RNA
Source: RNAcentral
UACGUAGGGGGCUAGCGUUGUCCGGAAUCAUUGGGCGUAAAGGGUGCGUAGGCGGCGCGGUAAGUCGGGUGUGAAAUCUCGGAGCUUAACUCCGAAACUGCAUUCGAUACUGCCGUGCUUGAGGACUGGAAAGGAGAGUGGAAUUCCCGGUGUAGCGGUGAAAUGCGCAGAUAUCGGGAAGAACACCCGUGGCGAAGGCGGCUCUCUGGGACGGUACUGACGCUGAGACGCGAAAGCGUGGGGAGCGAACAGG